UACGUAGGCAGCAAGCGUUGUUCGGAGUUACUGGGCGUAAAGAGUGCGUAGGUGGUGCCCUAAGUCUGUUGUGAAAUCUCCCGGCUUAACUGGGAGGGUGCGGUGGAAACUGGGGUGCUUGAGUGUGGGAGAGGUAAGCGGAAUUCCUGGUGUAGCGGUGAAAUGCGCAGAUACCAGGAGGAACACCAGUGGCGAAGGCGGUGCUCUGGGCCGGAACUGACGCUGAGGAGCGAAAGCGUGGGGAGCAAACAGG
RNAcentral lists this ribosomal RNA (253 nucleotides) under uncultured bacterium. Its description in RNAcentral is "partial 16S ribosomal RNA". It matches the Rfam family "Bacterial small subunit ribosomal RNA", at positions 524 to 776 of the family's 1533-position model. The record is from RNAcentral.